CCUCCCAGACCUGCCUCCCAAUUUUCGGUGAGUGGUGUAGCCCUGGGCGGCGUGCAAAGUGUGCGACGGCGGCGCUUACCCCUGCUGCGCGCCUCCUUACCUCCAGCUUCCCGGUUUGUGCACGCGGGGACCGCCACCCACCCCUCCCUCGCGGCGGCGCGCGCCCGUGGAGGAUGUGGUCGAGACCACUGGGUUAGAAGCAGUGACACCAACUUCUCAACUCCCGCUGCUCACUUUUCCUGGGACCUUGGUUGAGUCACUUGUUGCCACACAGGUGUCUGCUUGGGUGCACCUCUACCAAGCCCUCUUUUUUAUCUGAAUGGACAACAGAGAGCAAUUCAAAGUCACCAAAGAACACUUGGAAUUAAGAACAGGAAGAAAAAGCUACAGGCCAGACCCCCAUAACCUGCAGCUGCUACCUCCCUCACUGCUGGCCUCUGACCUUCUCGAACUCUGCUGAAAGUUGCUGCGUUUGCCCUCCUCUCCACAUCCAGACUAAGCUGGGUCUUUGUCACACUUUGGAUUAUAACCUCUUUUCCACUCAAAAAUAUACCUUCUUUUGAAAAAAGCUCAAAGGAACUACUGUUCUAAGUUGGUGCUUUUCACCUAAAUAAAAGCAGAUAAAAAUACUGAACCGAUAGACCUUAAUAUGCUGGUAAGCCAAUUUGACAGUAAGGCCUCACAAUCAAUGAUUCCGUGACUGUUUAAAGAGAUCACGACUCACAAUCAUUCACCAAGUAGAUUAGAAACUACUUGAAGACAAGGCCCAAGUUUUAUAUCUUUAUAUAUUAAACAAAACCUCUUGGUUAAAUUUGAUUAAGUGAUUGUCAUUUUAAAAAAUUGGUGAAGACUUAUAAGGAGGAGGAACAGGCCAGAAACUGUUAUGUUCCAUUUGAUCAAAAGCAUCUUCCUUCCUGCUUCUAAUGCCCCACAGCACAAAUACAUUGUAUUUAAGAAGAACAAGGUUAAUAGUAACCAAUAAACCUUGAUACUUAUGCCAGUAGCUAUAUACAUAUUACUACAAUGAAUAUAAUGAAGAGUCUCCUUAUUUGGAAAUCCUUGAGUUGGGUUACCAUCUCUCCCUUUUAGAUACAUAUCACACCUGAACUUUGAAAGGAGUGAAACUGUCCCAUGUCAUAUACUGACACAUAUCCCAGGCAGGGCACAAUCAGGACUACUGUCCUAGAAAUGUAUAAGACAAGGUCAGGCUUCAGUCAUUUCAACUUCUAACCUAGCAGGGCAUCCUUGAAAUAUUUUUUAAGUGUAGGUUUCACCUAUAUUUUAUUAUGACCAACCACUGAUGGACAAAUAAAGCAUUUACUUUGUAAAUAAAUGACAGCAGGUGGAAUCAAGGGUUUAUAGGUAAGCAAAAGACUCGAAGAGCUCUGAAACACAAGCUCGUUUGUGGUCUGUUCGGCUUUCUGUUUUCACUCGACACAAAGUGAAAGAUGAGAUUUUACUUAAUUGGCAUGGGGAGCUGACACUGUCUCCAGUUUUCCGUCUAGCAUUUGACCUACCUGGGGCCUUAAAAGUUUUAAUUUUUUAAAAAGUCUUUUCAGAUUUGCAGGCCACCACGUGUGACCUUUUCAUAUAAAUUAGUAAUUUAUUUUAAUAGGUCAUUACCAUUUUAAGUACCUGGUUUAUGCUUUGAGAGUAGAGCAAUUCAUUAGCAUAAUUCUUGGAACAGUUCUGACUAGAGAGUUUUCCAGUGGAAGGGGCCUCUCAUUUGGCUCAGGGAGAGAUGGAAGUUAUGGAAACUUCAGGCUCCAGAGAGGGGCAAAGGGCCAGAAUGUUGGGAGUAUAAAAUGCCGAGGGAGGGCACAGGUCCCUCCCUCAGGUGACUUGCUUCAUGCCAAAGCCAGCAAGUUGGGAUUAAUAACACACUCCCAACCUAAAACACUAGGUCACCUAAUGAUACAACUUGGUUAAACAGAUGGUGUCACACGCUACACAGAGAGAUGGCCUAGCAACAGUUCUUUCCAACAUUGCAUAUUUUACAACAAUGGGUGAAUUCACAUGUCGGAGUUUGAAUUUUGUGGUCUUGUAAGCUUCAUAUUUAUGGGUGGAUGUGUUCCUUGGCUCUUUUGCAUCUUCCUGUCUAAGAAUGCCUUGUCUACUUUUAGAAGCAAUAGACUCGCCACAGCUGAGAAUCUUGAAAAUAUUGUUACACUUAAUGAUGUAAUUCAGUUUUUGGACAAGCGUGUUCUUGGCCUUUUCAUUAGCUGGGGUUAUUGUAAGAGCCCAGAGAAAAUAUAAUUUUCCAAGAGCCCAGAGAAAAUAUAAUUAUAAUAUUAUUUUAAUAGCCUAUGAAAAAAUAAAUAGGUUUCCAAUGAAACAGAAACCUUAGCUGUAAGAUUUUAAUAAUAGUAUUUAGUGCUUUCCUGGUGCUUUCUGUCUUUAAAGCACAUUCUGCACUUUAUUUAACUAGAAUGACAAAUGAAUGAGACUUGAAGCCUGGGCUAUACAUAUGAUAAAAGCAGGCACUGUAAAAAGCCUUUUCCUAGUCCCAGUAAAUCCCCGGUAAAAAGGUUCUGUUAAUUAGGAUGAUAAAGUUCUUAAAAAUCUAACAUAGUGAUUACCUAUGGCAUUUUUUUUCUUGUCAUAUUGACUAGUUAGUAACUUCGACCACAAAGUACUCCUAAACUUGCAUUCUAAACUAAACACACAGUUUAGUUAGUAACGCUUUAUUUCAGGAGACUUAAAGUCAAUUACUGCAUGGCCAUAUGAAAUUUCCCUAUUUAAUUUCCAUUAACUAAUUUUAAAAUAAUUUGUUUUUAGUUCAGAACACACUCUAAUCUAUACAGAAUGUGGAGGCACAUUGGCCAAUGUGUUUGGACCCAGCCAGUGGCUCUGAGAUGCCAUUCAAGCAUCUACUUAAAACCAGGGCACACAACAUGAAGGCAAUUGGGACUUGUUGUGCCUUUAUUGAUCUUUCUUGACUCUGAUGGGCGGGGCCCAUCUAUGAGAGGAGCUUCCUGGUCUCCAUGGAUGACCAGUCCUCAAGGCCAUCAUUGCCUUUCUCACAACAUCCCAAGGAGCCCCAGACUAGGUGGGAGUGGACUUUUAACAAAGCCAGCAUCUACCUUAGCAGGGGGAAACAAUAAAAAAGAGACUACGUGCAUUACUCUGUUCCUUUUAAAACUUAAACCUAAAUAAUAUGAUACACAUGUUAGUCUUAGUUGAAGAUUCUAGAUGGACAAAAAAUUUGGAUUGGGGCGUAAUGACAUCAACCAUAGACCAAUGGCCCCACUUACUGGAGAUCUUAAUUGGGUAAAAAAAAAGAUAUACAAGUGGUACCACUCUAUAGCAGGAAAGUUAAUUUUCCUAAACUAAAAUAUCUUUGACUUCCCUUGGGGAAACAAAUUUCAUGAAGACUAAGGUAAUGGGAAAACCUGUUGCUUAGAUCUUGUAACUUGGCCUUGAGGAUGGAAACUCAUCCAGGAGGGGGACUGAUCAAGGAGGACUAGUUAAAAACAGGUGCAGGCCAGCUCACUUUUGUUUUUAUUUACAAGGUGCCUUAUUCAAAUAACAUUUUGAUCCAACAUCUUACUAAACAAGUAACGACAGGAAAAAAUAAAUAAAAAGCAAGUUGGCACUAUCAAGAGAGUGCUGAGGUCCUAAUAAGAUCUCCUUCAGUAAAAGCCCUUUAAAUGUUCUUAAAGAUUUUAGUUUUUUUCACUGUAUUCAAUUCUUCAAAUGUAGCCCCAUAUAACUAAGAGAUUAGAGAGUUAAACACUCCAGAUUAAUCAAGUAAUAAAUUUCCUUUCGUUAAAUGCUGCUUUGUGUAUACGUAUAUACAAACGAAACACCCGCUAAGUACAAGUUUUACUUGUACAAUCUUGGGUUUUUACUUUAUUUACCUACCAACCAAAUGUGGGUGAUCAUUUUCAAACAGCCUUGCAGUUAGUUACUAGCCUCAGCUUGGGACAACUGAGAUUCUGACGGGGCUGUGGCUGUCAUUUGCCUUCGUAGCUGAAACCCUCUCUCUAGUCCCACUUUCAUCUGCUGUUGGUAAAUCCUGAAUUAAGCAACUAAUGUCAUAAUUAGUCACAUGUUUAAUUCAUCUGGAAAUGUAGGUACCUUUUCAUCUUUUUGUGUUUGCCCACACAUGUUUAGGUUGAAAUCAAAAAAUGUGUAAUUAUAGUUUAGCUCCACCCAUUUCCCUGGGUUUUUAUUUUGAGGGGGAACGAAUCAUCGGGAUACAGACAGCAUAGCUCCCAGAUGAGGAAGGCGGCCUCCUCCUUUGCCCACAGCUACGCACAAGCCCCAGUUCUCCUCACAGCUGCCCCCCUGCACGAUUUCCAUUUGGUCAAAAUUCAGUGUUUGCUGGGCAGCCCAGAGGCUGCGCCCUCCACUCCCUCACUCAGCAGUUUAUCGAGGGCGUGGCAGCAUUCACAGCACUCUCUGUGGCCCGUGAGGAGCCCACUCAACAUCAGCAGAGCCCAGAUGGCACUGUGGCUUUCUAAGGUCUUUGCCGACCUCUGGAAGUUAUGAGGAGGAGAAAAUUAUUCAGCCAAAGCAUCAAGCAUUUGCAACCAGUCUGGGGAUCAGAUGCAAAGGAGAUGUUUUUAUGAGCUACAGACCUCAGCUCUACCCACAGCCACGUCCCGGGGUCUCUGCAUGCCGCCCAGUACUGGAAAGCUGCCUCUGCCCGCUUUCUUGAACAUUCCUGUCUCUUGCUUUCUUGAACAUUCCUGUCUCUUGGUUGCCUUAGUCUCUACUACCUUCUCAGAUUACGGCUCCUUUUGUGCUAAUUACACCGAAAAAAUUGAAAGAAUGUCGCUGACUUUACAAAGAACACAAAGCAGGCUUGCUUUAAAAACUAAAUAUAGCCAAUUUCUUUCAGAAGGCAGACAACUCAGCUUUCAAACAAUUUCUACUAUGUGGAUUAAUUGCAGAUAGCCAAUUCAUUUAUUAAGACCCAAAUGACAGAAGGGCUCAGCUACUGGGAGGACAAAUUAAACAUAUAUGUUGCUUUUGGGGGCCAUUUACAUAAAAUGAGAAGAUCUGAUUAAUGAUAAGUUUUACUCCCCCAGUACUUAACUGUAAAUUAAGACUUGCCAGCAACGGCAGGCUAAUUUAAGCUACCAUGAAAAGAGGAAAGAAAUAGAAGCUGCCGAUCUGUAGAAAGCAGUACCUGUACUAUGCAGGUAAAAACACAAAUGAAAUGAAAAGAAAGUCUAAGUUUCCCCCUGGAAGGCUGUGGCUGCAGGAGAACGAGAGGAUGCUGUUUUUGCAGCCCUAUUUUCUGUUAUGUAAGAAAUGGUCUUUUAAAUGACAGAAUUGGGGAGGAUGUGCUACCCCUGCUAGCCAAGCAAAUUAUGAAUUCUACCCCCACCCCUCCUCCUGUGAAAUCCUCUAAGGGUUAAUAGGUGACCAGUAGCAGCUUGGAAUGAUUUAUUUUUCUAAGGAACAUUAAAUACUGAAUUGCUCAUGCUGAAAUAAUGCUACAGCUGUGCCCCUUAGGGCUGAAUUCUGGACACCAGCUCAAGUGACAGGUGUACUCGAUGUAUGCCCAGCCUGGCUGAAAUUGUGAUGCCUAACUCAAGUUUUCCCCUCGAUUAACUGGUGGGGACUCUGGAGACAGCCAGGAAAGGGCCUUUUGCCACAGACACGGAAGACCAUGUGUGCUCAGCCGUUCACAAAAAUGCCCGCCUCGGGGGAGAAUGGAGGCGCUGCUCCUUGAACAGAGAACAGGAAAAUCCAGACAGAGCUUGGAAUGCAGCAGGGAGAGAAAGUGGGAGCCGAGAGAUCUGAUCAGGACCAAACCCUUCUGGGUUUUAAAGCAAACAGGUCUGUCCUACAAUAGGCUCUUGGAGGAUUUGAGCAAUUGAAGCAAGCCUGGGGUUCUAGGAAAUGUGUCACCAAAAUUGGUAUUAUUAGAGGAAGUGGCACAAAGCUAGAAAUGCACAGUCUAAUCUGUAACAUAUUAAUGAUACCUAUUUUUAUCCCAGGGUUGCAGUGACCUAACACCAAGAAUUAAAACUCUAGAAAACUAACCCUUCACAUGUAUAAGACAGGAACACCUUGAGGGGUGGGGGCCACAGGGCAAAGCUUUCACUGAGUCCCUGGGUUGGACCUAGGGUGAGAAAUCAGUAGUCACCCAGGAAGGUAGCUGAUUUUUGAGGGAACCUGGCAACAGUGAAGGAGGGCAAGUAGAGCUCUAGACCAAACCUUGGGGGUUCUGGGGUGAUGUCAGCAUGCUGGGAAGAGGACACCUCUGAUAUGUCAGAGGCCACCCUGAGCAAACUGCACUGUGCCCUUAGGGUGUCUUGGUCUGCAGAAGGAAGGAAGAAGGCUGGGCUGUGCUCUGUCAAGCCAAGAGGGCUCCUAGACGAAGCUUCCCUUGGUCCAUCCCACCUACCACAAAGGCCCUGGACCCCAUCUCCUGGCAAGAUGGUGCCAAAUGGCCACUGGAGAGAGAUGCUGUCUGGAGCUAGAUGCUGUCAAAUCUCCCACUUGGGAGACUUGUUCCAGUAAGGAUGCUUCUGACUAAGAUGAUGGCUGAAGGUAUCAACCAAUUUAAAGCAGUGGUAGGUGUUUUGCUUUCUUAUUCUGAAAAGAUCAUCUCUAUCUUCUGAGUAACAGGAUUUUUUAAUAAUUGGACCUUCUGGAACUGUAUCAAAAAGCCUAGCUGUGAAAGAAACUUUCAAAGGAAGUUGAUAUAAAAUUUAGUUAGGACCCAGAGACAUCUAAUCUGCAAGUUAAAUGGAUACUUGAUUUACUCAAACCCAUUAAAAGCAUCCCAAAGUCUAGGAAAACUUCACUGACCCAAAAUUCCUAUCGUCACAUUAUUAACCCAUGCCUCAGGGGGGCGCCCCAUGGUAGAGUAUUUUAAAGAAAUUCUCAGCCUUAAAAGUGAGUUCCUUAAAUGGUUUUCUAUUAAUUAAAGCAGUAAUUAUUCUAAAUAUAUCAUUUCAGUGAGCUGCUGUGGGUUAGUUGAAUGCAAAAUGUGCAAAAACCAAAUUGUUGACUAACUAGUGUGAUCCCCAAGGACAUUUAAUGUUUUAAUGGUAGAUAUAAAAUGCCUUUAUAGUUCAUUUACCUUGCAGCACAUUCUUAAAAAGUGUUAAGUGAAUGUGUUUUCCUCAACCCGGCAUAACUACAUACCUGCUAGAUUUACUGAGGGUACCAAAGGCAGAGAGGGGAACUUUGUAAAAAAUAAGAAGCCUAAAAAUGACUAAAGAAUAGAACUCUACAACAAAAAUUUAGUUUCUAAAAUGGAUGCCAGAGGCAGAGGAGAUUUUGAGAGAAAAAUAUACGCAUAAUUUCUAAAACACGUAAAGCAAAACAGCAAAUCUGCAAAUGAGAAAAAAAAGCUACUAGCAGCAAGCAAGCCCUAGAAAAACAAACAAAAAAAUCACUUGUAUUGAUAGUAAUUGAACCCUCGCUUAACCCUUCUCCCAAUACCUGAUAAUUCUGUGAGAUCACCCAGCUGUCACUCUUUUCCUUUUAGAAACGUGACAUUGAUUUGUCUAGCAAAGACCUAUUACUAGAAUUCUGAGGUCUGCUUAAUGGGGCUCUAAUAAAUCUAAGUCAUCAAUUCUUGACCUUUUUUUCCUGAAAUUCUCAGUAUGUGGUAAACUGCUGAAAACACAUUUCCAAGGUUCUGUGACUGUGACAUAAAGAUAAAGGGUCAAGGCUGAGCGGCUUUGGUGGUCUGAGUGCAUCUGGGCUCUGCCCUGCCUGCACCCCAGAGGGAAAAGAAGUAAGAUCGAUCAGAAACAGUAUCUGAGGGCCGUAUCGAUGCUCUGCUUUGGGCUGAGCUGUUUGCAAACAGAAACAAAUUGCACACGACUGAAUAAGUGCUAAGGGGGGUGUGCCAAGGAGCCGUUACUGCCUUUCCUCGAAUCCUUUCCUUCCCCACCUGCCUGCUUGCUUACUGUGGUGAGAGAUCAGGAAAAUUUGUAGCCAAGAGUCUAAAUUGGCUUAUCCACAUGAGAGAGAAAGAAAGAAAGAGAAAAGAUUGAUGAUCUAGUCCUAGUUUUGGUGACUUGGAGAUAAAAGGAUGGAGGAGGGGGCCCU
Molecule: long non-coding RNA, 8025 nt
Organism: Diceros bicornis minor
Lineage: Eukaryota; Metazoa; Chordata; Mammalia; Perissodactyla; Rhinocerotidae
Exons: 3
Source: RefSeq, a predicted model, not a curated record